UAUUAUGAGGCUCAGAACUUUCUUUUGCUUCUCUGUUCCUUUCUUCAGAUACUGUAUUUGGUUAAUAACUUUUAAGUACAACCCUUUUUCAAUUCCUUUAAAUCUGUCAUUGCAUUCUACUUGGUUGCUGUUGGUUCGCCAUUGAACAGCAUUUUAACCAAACCAUUUGAUGAUAACAGAUCGGUUGAUUUGGCUCCAUCCAUACCAUGGAAAUUCCAACCGAAACCCCAAUAAAGAAACCAAAGCGAUUGACAUCCGUUGUGUGGAACCAUUUUGAAAGAGUUCGAAAGGCAGAUAUCUGUUAUGCCGUCUGUGUGCAUUGCAAAAAGAAACUUAGUGGAUCAAGUAACAGUGGAACAACUCAUCUGAGGAAUCAUUUGUUGCGGUGUCUAAAAAGAUCCAACUAUGAUGUUACCCAAAUACUUGCAGCGAAGAGAAAGAAAAAAGACCCUACUCUUGCAGUUGUCACCUAUGAAGAAGGACAAAGGAAAGAAGAAACUAUUAGUCCUGUGUCAGCCUUUAAGUUUGAUCCAGAGGUAAAGAAAGAGGAAGUUAACGUGCCUAUCAACCUUGGCAGUGUUAGAUUUGAUCAAGAGCGGAGCCGUUUGGAUCUUGCCCGUAUGAUUAUGUUGCAUGGUUAUCCUUUAGCUAUGGUUGACCAUAUUGGAUUCAAAAUAUUUGUCAAGAAUUUACAGCCACAAUUUGAGGUUUUGACUAAUAGUGCUGUUGAACUAGAUUGUAUGACUAUUUAUGCAAAAGAGAAACAGAAGAUGUAUGAAGCGAUCCAUAACUUGCAUGGAAGAAUUAGUCUUUCUGCUGAUGUUUGGGAUUCAUCGGAAAAUGCACGGUAUAUGUGCUUGACUGCUUUUUACAUUGAUGAAGACUGGAAGCUUCAGAAGAAAAUGCUGAAUUUCAUCACACUGGACCCUUCUCACACAGAUGACAUACUUUCAGAAGUUGUUGUAAAAAGUUUGACAGACUGGGUCAUUGAUCGUAAGUUGUUUUCAAUGACUUUCGAUCAUUGUACGGGCUAUGAAGAACUGAUUUUUAGGAUCAAAGACUGGCUUUCUCAAAACAGGCCUCUGUUAAAGAAUGGUGAAUUGUUUGAUGUGCGCUGUGCAGUACAGUUAAUGAAAUCAAUUGUUUCCGAUGUCAUGGAAGCAAUUCGAGAUGUGACCCACAAGGUCCGAGAAAGCAUAAGGCAUGUUAAAAGUUCACAAGUAACCCUAGGAAAAUUCAAUGAGAUUGCUCAGCAAGCUGCGGUUAGUGGUGAGAGACCUUUGAUUCUUGAUUGCGGACAGCAGUGGAGUUCAACAUACUUAAUGCUUGAAGCUGCCUUAGACUAUAGGGGAGCCUUCUGUCUACUAGAAGAGCAUGACCCUACCUACACCAGUGCCUUGUCUGAAACAGAGUGGGAUCAUGCUAGUGUCGUUGCUGGCUAUGUGAAAC
This 1449-nucleotide long non-coding RNA is filed under the name Solanum melongena (eggplant). RNAcentral's name for it is "long non-coding RNA (SMEL_LNC000192)". The record is from RNAcentral. Lineage: Eukaryota; Viridiplantae; Streptophyta; Magnoliopsida; Solanales; Solanaceae.